GAACUGAGAAAUACUUGGAGCGAUCAAAGAACAGACUGAUGCAAGACCCAAUUUUUUUUUUUUUUGACCAUCUGGAAAGCAGAGGAAAAAAAUGAUGAUUGUUCAUCUGGAAAGAAGCCCAAGUUUAAUGGGUUUCCGUUUUCCUCGUGGGAAUUUGCCGCUGCAAUCGAUGUCUUCUUGGUCUUCUCCGCUGGUCUUUUCUGCAUAUACUUGACCAUGCCCCCCACUGAAUAUGGAAAACUGAAGCUGGGAAGGACCAUCUCGGAUCUUCAGAUGCUUAAGUGGGUUUUCUCCUUCUUUUUUCUCUAUUUUUCUUUGUUCUCCAUUUUUUAUCAUGCUAUCUUCUUCUUUUCUAUAAUGCAAGAGUCAUCGGUUUUUGUGAAUGUUCUUCCAAAAAGGUACGAUUUAAUAGAGAAAUAUUUCAAAGUGUAAGAAUCCAUUACUGUUUAAUAGAAGUUGCCUCUAAGUUAUGCCAUGAUGACGUAAAUGCAUUUACCACGAAGGACAGGACUUCGGAGGUAAGGAAAUCAAUUUUUUUUAAUACUGGACAUGCUUAACAAGCAUCAAUGGAGAUGAUGGAAAUUUUUUUAAUUAUUAUUUUUCUAAAAACUCAAGUUCUCAAGGAGAUUGAAGGGCUUAAUUACAAGAGUUAGAAAAGAUGAUGCAAGAGGGUGGAAGACCUUUUUGACAUAAAAGGGAUCAAUUUUAUACUCUUCCAGAUUCAAAUUGGGAAGCAACAAACUCUUAUACAUAUGUUUUGUUUUUUAUUGUCUUUUAUUAGUUUUGUUAGAUAUCUUAUUUCUAAAUAUGAAAUUUUAGUGUGUUACUUUACAUUGAAAACAAUUUUGUUUGGAAUAUAUGUAUUGUACAUUAUGGCAUUGCAAGAAAUAUAUAAGAUCAAAAUGCAAUUACAUUACUAGACAAAUAAUAGGCUCUAUAAAAUUUAGCAAUUUCACUUCAAAAGUGUUAUAAAAUUUAGCAACAGUUCUGUGACUUUGUUUAUGAUCCUCUCUUUGAUAUUGCAGAAUUUCGAUAGUAAACUAGUUGUCAAUUAUGCUUGUUCUAUGGCGUGGGGUUAACACAUCCGGUGAUGGAUGAGUUCAUUUCAUUUCAUAGAUAUGCUGCUGGCAUGAUGGGCGAAGAAGACUUCCAUUAAUUUUAGAGUAGGAUUUAGAAAUGAAUAUACAAGACUGAACAAAGCAAGCACUAAUUCUUUCAUCUUCUUUUUGUAAAUUUUACUGAAAUCAUUCAACUUACAAAUGUUGGUUGUGAAUUGUAUUGAUAAUUUUUUUUCCAUUUGAAUACAACAAUGGAUAAUGAUACCAUAACAAAUAGACAAGCUUUUUUUCCUUUUAUUGCAGGCAAAAACUGCAAACAAUGUACUAUCACUUGAUUUUUUUUGCUACUAUAGAAAUUCUAGACUUGAAAAAGAAAAGUAAAAAACAAAACUAAGAAACACAAGUAUUCAUAGUUGUCUUUUACAGUUUAUCUUUAACAACCAACAAAAGGGAAAAAGAAAAGCAAACAGCAUCUACAAAGCCUUCGAUUUAUUGAUCACAUUGCACUCCCAACUCCCAACUCCCAAACCCAUUUGACAAUGAAAGAGACUAAAGGAAACAAAGAAAAAAAAAAGUUGAAAAUGCAUAACUCAGCAGCAGCAGCACUUCUAAUCUUGAUUUUUCUACCAAAUAUCCAGCUGAAAGUAACUUAUUGAUGCUUUCUUGGUCCUUCUCUGAGCUCUCUCCUCCAACUUUCUUAUCCUCUGGGGCAAUUUACACACAUAACCUUCUGCUUUGUGGCCCUCACUUGAAAGACCACUCAACUUCUCAAUCUUCUAUCUUCCAACUAGAAACUCCAUGAUAUCAACAUAAUCCUUUCCUUGAUAGUGUAAACUUCAAGCUUUUGAGUAAUCAUGUGUUACGUAUACUGUUGAAAACCAGGUUCUCUAGUAAGAGGAACACAAAGCUAAGCCACAGAAGCCUGCGAUCAUCGCUACUAUACAACCAUAAAGAUAACUUAUAGCAAAUCCACCACUACCAUAAGCCAUACCAUAAGAAAAGUAAAUGUUAUGUACGCAACUCUCAGAAGAACUACCCACAUAACAAAACUCCCUAUGAUCGUUUUCGAUAAAAUCCUAACCAAAUUUUAACAACAAAAACUGUAUCAUCAUCACCCAUAACAAACCACCUCACAUCCUUCAUACCCAUUUCAUUACAACAUUACAACAUUUCAUUCCGAAGAACGUAAAUAAUUUAAUUCAAUCACAUAAUUAGCAGGCAUCCCAGAAAAGAAACUUACUCAAAUCAUGGAAUAAAAAUUUGUUGGCAAUGUAUUACCCCAAAUCAAUUUAUGAAAGUUUCUAAUAAUUUCAAGCACCCAAAUCCGAUCAG
Molecule: long non-coding RNA, 2390 nt
Organism: Cannabis sativa
Lineage: Eukaryota; Viridiplantae; Streptophyta; Magnoliopsida; Rosales; Cannabaceae
Exons: 2
Source: RefSeq, a predicted model, not a curated record